AAAGUUUUAUGUACCUGUUCCGUGUUAGAUGUUAGAUUUCAAGUAGAGUGUUAGAUUUCAACUUUUAUACAAGAGGUGUGUACAGCUAUUAUAGAAGGAUUAAAAUAAUACAUCAAGAUGCCGUCAGGAGUAACAGAAUAGAAACAAGUUGCAAAAGAUUUCGAGGGAAGAAGUUCAAUUUAUCAAUCGAUAUGAUACAUACGUAAUACAGAGAUAUGUACAUUUAUAAUGACUAAAAUAUUUUAUUAAAGAUACUUACGUUAGAA
Pieris rapae (cabbage white) is the source of this 266-nucleotide long non-coding RNA. RefSeq lists it as uncharacterized. NCBI's taxonomy places the organism in Eukaryota, Metazoa, Arthropoda, Insecta, Lepidoptera, Pieridae. The transcript has 2 exons. The record is from RefSeq and is a predicted model, not a curated record.